RNAcentral lists this ribosomal RNA (323 nucleotides) under uncultured eukaryote. RNAcentral describes it as "partial 18S ribosomal RNA". It matches the Rfam family "Eukaryotic small subunit ribosomal RNA", at positions 1470 to 1796 of the family's 1831-position model. The record is from RNAcentral.
CCCUUAGAUGUUCUGGGCCGCACGCGCGCUACACUGAUGCAAUCAACGAGUUUAUAACCUGCGCCGAGAGGCUUGGGUAAUCUGUUGAAAUUGCAUCGUGAUGGGGAUAGAUGAUUGCAAUUAUUCAUCUUCAACGAGGAAUGCCUUGUAAGCGCGAAUCAUCAGUUCGUGCUGAAUACGUCCCUGCCCUUUGUACACACCGCCCGUCGCUCCUACCGAUCGAGUGAUCCGGUGAGCUAUUCGGACCGCGAACGUUUGGGUUUCCCUGCGUUUGUGGGAAGUUUCGCAAACCUUAUCACUUAGAGGAAGGAGAAGUCGUAACA